Molecule: long non-coding RNA, 1635 nt
Filed under: Homo sapiens (human)
Lineage: Eukaryota; Metazoa; Chordata; Mammalia; Primates; Hominidae
Description: long intergenic non-protein coding RNA 3103
Source: RNAcentral
GGCAUUCUUCCUUUACCAGUCCAAAUGCUAUACCGGUUAAACUCCGCCAUUUUGCCUCUUAGUGCUCAUGCUUGAGCCCGCUUGCCCAACUCCUGAGAUGUCAUCGGGAAGCUGCUGAUCAGCAAUUACAGGUGUUUCUGUGUAUUGGGAGACUGCCUUUCCCUGUCAUUGAUCAAUUAUUUUUUUAGAGAGAUACUUAACAACUACCUCACCAUCACUUGAUGGUUGCCUGACAUUCCUGAUUGGUGAGGGAGAGAGGGAGGGAGUCAGGGGGGCUCUCCUGCCCUGUUCCUGUCUGACUAGCUACCUGCUGUAACAAUUAUACUAGUACUAGUGAUAAACCUAUCACUUGUGCCUAUGACAGGGCCUUACACAAGGUAGAUAACCAAUGAUUAUGGUUGAAUUAAUAAACAAGGCCUCUCUUAUGCCCCUAAAAAUGCAGAGAUGCUCUUCUCACCUCUCAUUCGGAAUCUACUCUCAAUUAUAUAUAAGACGAGGAAAUGUUCCAACACAUCUGAGGAAACACAUGCCUUCCCAGACUGGCCUGUUGCUGUUUCCCAGGAGCUGCAUUCUGGAAGGUGGACCAUCAGGUGGAAGAAGUAUUCUUCAGAGAGCUGCCUUCCCAAGGGAAUGGUGACAGCUUGCGCUUGCCGGGGAGUCCUGCUGCCUUCCGAGGUGUGAAGGGAAGGCAUGCACUGUGCAUAUGCUGUACCAUACAGUUUUGCCUACAACUGCUUGUAGCUUCAUUGUAGCUGUGAAUGCUCCGUUCCUCUCCUUUUCACCCCUGAAGAUUCGCGAACAUGCAGGAUUGAGCUGUGCGAGGCAUAGCAUUCCCCACAUGGUAGACGAAGGCGGAUGUGGGUCUGAUGGCUCUACUGCCGUCCACCCGGGAGGAUGGACGUGUGUUCCGGGAUAUCAGAGCUUGCGGCUGACCAGCCCACAUGUCCAUGCAGCCCUCCCGCUGGCUGUGUCGACAUUUUGGGUGUCACUGAAGGAUUUUACUGGUGCAGACUUUACAAAGGCAAAAUUGUUUCUCAAGGAAGUGGACAUGAAAGAUCUAAAAUCAGGGCUGCUUAAAAAAAGCAAGCACAGAUUAAUGACCUAUCUACAUCCUACACGGUUUUAGGACUGCGCCUAGAUGGGCUUAAAGACCCUAGCCUAAAAACUGUAAAUGUGCUUCCGUCUUUGCCCUGUAGGACAAGAAAGCCUUACGGGCUUGCUUCUAACUGUGAGAGGAGGAGAGGCCAGGAAGGGAGAGGGAGAAAAGGAGGAGAACAGGAGACGAGAAGGAGGGGAGAGUGAGGAGAGGAGGAGAGAGGCUUGUCAAAAUCUUUUUAGUGCACAAAACUAAUUUUGUUCAUCUUGGAUUUGGUGAGCUGGGUAAUAUUCUGUGCACGGCUCCUAAAUGAAUUAUUAAAUGUCAACUCAAGAUGGCUUAACUAAAAUACUCAAUUUAAUAACCAAAAGUAUCUAAGGUAACAACAACAAUUUUGCAGGUGAUUGUAGAGUUGUCAAGUCAAACCAUUAUAGACAAGCAUUUGGGGUUUUCACAUAAUCUCCUUCCACAUCUCAUCUUCUGUCACUAAAUACCCACUCUGGUGAGCAUAUUCCAUUUCAAUAAAGAUCAUCGCUUCG